GAGGGUACAGCUCAGUGGUGGAGCGCAUGCUUAGCAUGCACAAGGUUCUGGGUUCAAUCCUCAGUACCUCCA
RNAcentral lists this transfer RNA (72 nucleotides) under Camelus bactrianus (Bactrian camel). It matches the Rfam family "tRNA". From Rfam's summary of the family: Transfer RNA (tRNA) molecules are approximately 80 nucleotides in length. Lineage: Eukaryota; Metazoa; Chordata; Mammalia; Artiodactyla; Camelidae. The record is from Rfam by way of RNAcentral. RNAcentral also lists the same sequence under 2 other names.